UCUGACUUUCAAGGAGGAUACUUUCCCGCCUGCUCCUGAUGUUGUACCCUGUGGAUUCCAAACCUCACAGGGACCGUGACUGCCAUGGUAGCAGGUUUGGAAGCCUGUGCUCGAGCAGCAUGUUUCUGUACACUUCCCAACUCCCCCGUCUAUUGCAACGAUGCCCUACUCACUGAGAAUUUCCACAGGCCCCCGAUGUCAUCGCUCCUCUCAAAGCAGUCCCAGGACUUCCACUGAGGACCUCCACCUGGACAGUUCUGUUGAGCCAUCUCCUGUAGCUCAAAGAACAGAAGACAUUCCCUGCUCCUUCCAGCCACUGACUUGACACAAGGAUACAGCUGGAACGUAGAAGUGGUUGCAGGAGCUGGAGCAAACGUUUUGGACCUGAUGUGGAACACUGUGUGAUGAGAAUGCUGGCACAGAAAAAGAGCUGGCUCUAGUCUACUUAUAUUUGGACUGUUGCAUGAGAGAGAAAUAAAUUAAU
This is a long non-coding RNA of Lemur catta (Ring-tailed lemur), 484 nucleotides long. RefSeq lists it as uncharacterized. The record is from RefSeq and is a predicted model, not a curated record. Lineage: Eukaryota; Metazoa; Chordata; Mammalia; Primates; Lemuridae. The transcript has 3 exons.